AUCGUUUCUCGGCCUUUUGGCUAAGAUCAAGUGUAUCUUAUCUGUGGGCCUUAUAUUAAAUGGAUUUUUAGAACAGGGAGAUGGAAGAAGAGCUUUCUCUGUCCACUCCAUGCAUUGACCUGGUAUUGCAGUACCUCCAGGACCGGUGCACGAAAG
This 156-nucleotide small nuclear RNA is filed under the name Leptobrachium leishanense (Leishan spiny toad). RNAcentral describes it as "U2 spliceosomal RNA (ENSLLEG00000026373.1)". It matches the Rfam family "U2 spliceosomal RNA". From Rfam's summary of the family: U2 is a small nuclear RNA (snRNA) component of the spliceosome (involved in pre-mRNA splicing). Complementary binding between U2 snRNA (in an area lying towards the 5' end but 3' to hairpin I) and the branchpoint sequence (BPS) of the intron results the bulging out of an unpaired adenosine, on the BPS, which initiates a nucleophilic attack at the intronic 5' splice site, thus starting the first of two transesterification reactions that mediate splicing. Lineage: Eukaryota; Metazoa; Chordata; Amphibia; Anura; Megophryidae. The record is from Rfam by way of RNAcentral.